RNAcentral lists this ribosomal RNA (609 nucleotides) under Volvariella dunensis. Its description in RNAcentral is "eukaryotic LSU rRNA". The stretch from base 214 to 368 matches the Rfam family "5.8S ribosomal RNA". Lineage: Eukaryota; Fungi; Basidiomycota; Agaricomycetes; Agaricales; Pluteaceae. The record is from RNAcentral.
AUUAACGAAUAGAACAAAGCCCCGCGGGCUGAUGCUGGCUCCUCGGAGCACGUGCACGCCCGGUGGCGACUUCAUUCGCCCUUACCCCCUUGUGCACUCCAUGUAGGUCGCCGGUGGCCCCCCCUCGGGCCUCGACGCCUACGAAUUCGUCUUUGUACGCACCCCGAUCGCAUGUCUUAAGAGUAACGAUUAUAAUGUGAUAACACAAAAUACAACUUUCAACAACGGAUCUCUUGGCUCUCGCAUCGAUGAAGAACGCAGCGAAAUGCGAUAAGUAAUGUGAAUUGCAGAAUUCAGUGAAUCAUCGAAUCUUUGAACGCACCUUGCGCUCUUUGGCCAUUCCAAAGAGCAUGCCUGUUUGAGUGUCAUUUGAAUCCUCAAGGCCCCCCUCGCCCCUCGCGGCUUUGGGGGCUUUGGAUGUGGGAGCGCUGCGGGAGGGGACCUCUUUUGGCCUCCCCCGCUCUCCUCAAACGCAUCAGUAGGGCCUUCUCCCUCUCGGGUCUUUGCGGCGUUGAUAGUUGUCUACGCCUCAGCCCGUCCGGGUUCCCCACCUGCUUCCAAACCCAACAAAUGAUAACCCCUUUGACCUCAAAUCAGGUAGGACUACCC